AAGCCUUAGUAAAUAUUUACUCCUUUAGAAUUGCAGUCUAACGUCAUUAUUGACUAUAAGGCC
This 63-nucleotide transfer RNA is filed under the name Sarcophaga depressifrons. Its description in RNAcentral is "tRNA-Cys". Lineage: Eukaryota; Metazoa; Arthropoda; Insecta; Diptera; Sarcophagidae. The record is from RNAcentral.